This 391-nucleotide ribosomal RNA is filed under the name uncultured bacterium. RNAcentral describes it as "bacterial SSU rRNA". It matches the Rfam family "Bacterial small subunit ribosomal RNA", at positions 30 to 400 of the family's 1533-position model. The record is from RNAcentral.
AGCGAACGCUGGCGGCGUACUUAACACAUGCAAGUCGAACGAGGGUCACCACGUGAGAAAUCACGUGGUGGCUCUAGUGGCGUACGGGUGAGUAACACGUGGGUAACCUGCCCUGGAGACCGGGAUACCCUCUCGAAAGGGAGGCUAAUACCGGAUACGUUCCCCACGACCGCGAGGUCGAGGGGAGGGAAGGUGGCGCAAGCUACCGCUCUUGGAGGGGCUCGCGACCUAUCAGCUAGUUGGUGAGGUGACGGCUCACCAAGGCGAUGACGGGUAGCUGGUCUGAGAGGACGACCAGCCACACGGGGACUGAGACACGGCCCCGACUCCUACGGGAGGCAGCAGUGGGGAAUUUUCCGCAAUGGGCGAAAGCCUGACGGAGUGACGCCGC